This 370-nucleotide ribosomal RNA is filed under the name uncultured bacterium. Its description in RNAcentral is "bacterial SSU rRNA". It matches the Rfam family "Bacterial small subunit ribosomal RNA", at positions 28 to 390 of the family's 1533-position model. The record is from RNAcentral.
GAUGAACGCUAGCGGCAGGCUUAACACAUGCAAGUCGAGGGGCAGCAUGAAGGUUAGCAAUAACCUUUGAUGGCGACCGGCGCAAGGGUGCGUAACGCGUGAGCAACUUGCCCGUUUCAGGGGGAUAACCCGGUGGAAACGCCGACUAAUACCCCAUAGUACAACUUUGAGGCAUCUUUAGUUGUUAAAGAUUUCGGAAACGGAUAGGCUCGCGUGACAUUAGCUAGAUGGCGGGUAACGGCCCACCAUGGCGACGAUGUCUAGGGGUUCUGAGAGGAAGGUCCCCCCACACUGGAACUGAGACACGGUCCAAACUCCUACGGGAGGCAGCAGUGAGGAUAUUGGUCAAUGGACGGAAGUCUGAACCCGA